RNAcentral lists this ribosomal RNA (306 nucleotides) under Bacillus sp. Expt2_P13WB_B04. RNAcentral describes it as "bacterial SSU rRNA". It matches the Rfam family "Bacterial small subunit ribosomal RNA", at positions 1044 to 1351 of the family's 1533-position model. Lineage: Bacteria; Bacillati; Bacillota; Bacilli; Caryophanales; Bacillaceae. The record is from RNAcentral.
CAUGGUUGUCGUCAGCUCGUGUCGUGAGAUGUUGGGUUAAGUCCCGCAACGAGCGCAACCCUUGAUCUUAGUUGCCAGCAUUUAGUUGGGCACUCUAAGGUGACUGCCGGUGACAAACCGGAGGAAGGUGGGGAUGACGUCAAAUCAUCAUGCCCCUUAUGACCUGGGCUACACACGUGCUACAAUGGAUGGUACAAAGGGCUGCAAGACCGCGAGGUCAAGCCAAUCCCAUAAAACCAUUCUCAGUUCGGAUUGUAGGCUGCAACUCGCCUACAUGAAGCUGGAAUCGCUAGUAAUCGCGGAUCA